AUAGGGGAGCUUUUUGCUGAGAGGAGGUUCGACCUCGACCCACAUAACCUGAUACGGAUAAUGCCGGCGUAGGAAAACAAGUA
Molecule: non-coding RNA, 83 nt
Filed under: human gut metagenome
Source: RNAcentral